This 465-nucleotide ribosomal RNA is filed under the name uncultured bacterium. Its description in RNAcentral is "partial 16S ribosomal RNA". It matches the Rfam family "Bacterial small subunit ribosomal RNA", at positions 338 to 795 of the family's 1533-position model. The record is from RNAcentral.
CCUACGGGAGGCAGCAGUAGGGAAUCUUCCACAAUGGGCGAAAGCCUGAUGGAGCAACGCCGCGUGGGUGAAGAAGGUCUUCGGAUCGUAAAACCCUGUUGUUAGAGAAGAAAGUGCGUGAGAGUAACUGUUCACGUUUCGACGGUAUCUAACCAUAAAGCCACGGCUAACUACGUGACAGCAGCCGCGGUAAUACGUAGGUGGCAAGCGUUAUCCGGAUUUAUUGGGCGUAAAGGGAACGCAGGCGGUCUUUUAAGUCUGAUGUGAAAGCCUUCGGCUUAACCGGAGUAGUGCAUUGGAAACUGGGAGACUUGAGUGCAGAAGAGGAGAGUGGAACUCCAUGGGUAGCGGUGAAAUGCGUAGAUAUAUGGAAGAACACCAGUGGCGAAAGCGGCUCUCUGGUCUGUAACUGACGCUGAGGUUCGAAAGCGUGGGUAGCAAACAGGAUUAGAUACCCCUGUAGUC